Molecule: long non-coding RNA, 1088 nt
Organism: Lethenteron reissneri (Far Eastern brook lamprey)
Lineage: Eukaryota; Metazoa; Chordata; Hyperoartia; Petromyzontiformes; Petromyzontidae
Source: RefSeq, a predicted model, not a curated record
GAGAAACUGGCGAAGGUGAGGAGUGGAUCCUCGCUGUGGAGACCUGGACUGCGCGAGAGACGCUGUUAGUUCUGUGCACCCUGCUCUGCAAUUGGCCACCAUGGAGAUGAGCCAAUCUGGAGAGGCGAGGAAUAAGGGCGAAUUUUGUACCACGUGGAGGGCGCUGUCCUCAGAGGGCACCGCCUCCAUCUGCAUCAAAUCACCGCAAGAGACCUGGACUGCGCGAGAGACGCUGUUAGUUCUGUGCACCCUGCUCUGCAAUUGGCCACCAUGGAGAUGAGCCAAUCUGGAGAGGCGAGGAAUAAGGGCGAAUUUUGUACCACGUGGAGGGCGCUGUCCUCAGAGGGCACCGCCUCCAUCUGCAUCAAAUCACCGCAAGGCGUCGCCACCCCACGCCAGCAGGGGGCGGCAUAAGGGUAGCCGGUUCGUGAAGACCCGGCCCACGCCGCCUGGAACCCCCCUCCCACCUUCUCGGAGCUCCGGACCCCAGCAAGCCUCCCGAGGAAGAUGCUGAAGGAAAGCGCUGGUGCGUUCACGGAGGAUCGCAGCUUCCCAGGUCCGCGCUGCCAGGGUCACCUUGUAGGGGAAGUGUGGCCACCGAAUGGAGAACUUGGCAACUUGUGAGGAGACGGAGCAUUGUAGGAGAGGAGCGCAGGGAGGGGGAUGGAGGUCAGACGUUGCACGAGAGGAGGCGAGUCACGUCUGAAUGCCUACGAGAUGGAGGAGAGCACCGGCCUCGCUGAAACCGGGGGCUUCCAUGCAAAAGAAUCGACGAGAUUAAAAAAAAACAAGGAAAAAAAUCGAGCGUGUUGUGAGGAUUUAUAGACAGUGGAGAAGUAUCAAGAGGCGUGAUAAGGGAGGGUGGCUUGCUACAAGGGGUAGGAGUGGUCCCUUCAUCGCGCCUUCUUCUCUCGUGAUUAGACUGCUCUUUCUCUCCAUCGCGACGCUUAAUGUUUACUUUCAGCCGGGAAUAAUUUUGCACUCGCACUCACCAGCGUGGUGAAAUAUGAUCAAAUGACCCCCAUUGUUAAUGCGACGUACGGGAGGGGCCUUCAUCCGUUGUUGUGCUGAGAAUGACUGGAAUGGAU